GAGCGGAACGAUCCUAGCUUGCUAGGAGGCGUCGAGCGGCGGACGGGUGAGUAAUGCAUAGGAAUCUGCCCGAUAGUGGGGGAUAACCUGGGGAAACUCAGGCUAAUACCGCAUACGUCCUACGGGAGAAAGCAGGGGAUCUUCGGACCUUGCGCUAUCGGAUGAGCCUAUGUCGGAUUAGCUUGUUGGUGAGGUAAUGGCUCACCAAGGCGACGAUCCGUAGCUGGUCUGAGAGGAUGAUCAGCCACAUCGGGACUGAGACACGGCCCGAACUCCUACGGGAGGCAGCAGUGGGGAAUAUUGGACAAUGGGCGAAAGCCUGAUCCAGCCAUGCCGCGUGUGUGAAGAAGGCUUUCGGGUUGUAAAGCACUUUCAGUGAGGAAGAAAGCCUUGGGGCUAAUACCCCCAAGGGACGACAUCACUCACAGAAGAAGCACCGGCUAACUCCGUGCCAGCAGCCGCGGUAAUACGGAGGGUGCGAGCGUUAAUCGGAAUUACUGGGCGUAAAGCUAAAUUCCCGGUGUAGCGGUGAAAUGCGUAGAGAUCGGGAGGAAUACCAGUGGCGAAGGCGGCUUCUGACUGACACUGACGCUGAGGUGCGAAAGCGUGGGUAGCAAACAGGAUUAGAUACCUGGUAGUCACGCCGUAAACGAUGUCGACUAGCCGUUGGGGUCCUAGAGACCUUUGUGGCGCAGUUAACGCGAUAAGUCGACCGCCUGGGGAGUACGGCCGCAAGGUUAAAACUCAAAUGAAUUGACGGGGGCCCGCACAAGCGGUGGAGCAUGUGGUUUAAUUCGAUGCAACGCGAAGAACCUUACCUACCCUUGACAUCGUGCGAACUUUCCAGAGAUGGAUUGGUGCCUUCGGGAACGCACAGACAGGUGCUGCAUGGCUGUCGUCAGCUCGUGUUGUGAAAUGUUGGGUUAAGUCCCGUAACGAGCGCAACCCUUGUCCCUAUUUGCCAGCGAUUCGGUCGGGAACUCUAGGGAGACUGCCGGUGACAAACCGGAGGAAGGUGGGGACGACGUCAAGUCAUCAUGGCCCUUACGGGUAGGGCUACACACGUGCUACAAUGGCCGGUACAAUGGGUUGCAAAGCCGCGAGGUGGAGCUAAUCCCACAAAGCCGGUCUCAGUCCGGAUCGGAGUCUGCAACUCGACUCCGUGAAGUCGGAAUCGCUAGUAAUCGUGAAUCAGAAUGUCACGGUGAAUACGUUCCCGGGCCUUGUACACACCGCCCGUCACACCAUGGGAGUGGACUGCACCAGAAGUGGUUAGCCUAACUUCGGAGGGCGAUCACCUACGG
This 1304-nucleotide ribosomal RNA is filed under the name Halomonas sp. MB52. Its description in RNAcentral is "partial 16S ribosomal RNA". It matches the Rfam family "Bacterial small subunit ribosomal RNA". The record is from RNAcentral. Lineage: Bacteria; Pseudomonadati; Pseudomonadota; Gammaproteobacteria; Oceanospirillales; Halomonadaceae.